This 712-nucleotide long non-coding RNA is filed under the name Sorghum bicolor (sorghum). Its description in RNAcentral is "long non-coding RNA (SBIC_LNC015533)". Lineage: Eukaryota; Viridiplantae; Streptophyta; Magnoliopsida; Poales; Poaceae. The record is from RNAcentral.
GCUGAAUCUUAAAAAAUCAUAGUAAAUGACAAUUUUCUUGUACUCUACAUGAGUAGAUAUACAUAGUGAAUAUAUAAUAUGGUAUGGUUUAGUCCAACAAAAUAAUUAUAGAAGCCACAACUAUGAAUUAUUUUAAUUAAUUACAGAAAAACAUAGAUCUAAAUCUACAACACAAAAUUUGUACUAAAGUAUACCAUAUUAUAUAUUCACUGUGUAGAUAUGCUCAUGUGAAGUCUAAUAAAAUUUGAUUUUAAAUUUUAUGAUUUUUCUGUAAUUUACUAUAAUUUUUAAAAAAAUUUAGCCAAAAUAAAUUAAAAAGGAAAGACAAAACCUUCAUAGCAAAAACUUUAUACUAAAGUAUACAAUAUUAUAUAUUCACAACGUAAAUCUAUUUAUGUGGAGUCUAACAAAAUUAAAAAUUUUAUUUUAUAUAUUUUUGUGAUUUACUAUGAUUUUUUCAAAGUUUUGGUCGAAAGAAAUAAAAAAAGAAAAAGACAAAACCACCGCUACUGUAGCAAACCACCAUUCACUGUAGCAAAACUGUCUUCAAAAUCACUCAAGAGAGGUAAAAUGCACGGUUUAAAAAAUUAAGAGAGAGAUUUUCCCGAUUUUAGUGUUGAGAGAGAAAAAACGACUAUCGCAUAAGUUAAGGAGAAAAAGUAGACUUUUUCCUUUUUCAAAAAAAGAUUCCCAACAUAAUACGAUUCGGCCC